Hypanus sabinus (Atlantic stingray) is the source of this 1870-nucleotide long non-coding RNA. RefSeq lists it as uncharacterized. The record is from RefSeq and is a predicted model, not a curated record. NCBI's taxonomy places the organism in Eukaryota, Metazoa, Chordata, Chondrichthyes, Myliobatiformes, Dasyatidae. The transcript is spliced from 3 exons.
AGAUGCUACCCAACCUGCUGACUUCCUCCAGCAUAAUGUUUGCUGCUCUUGUAUGGUUUCUUUAUACAUUUAUGACCAUCUUCAAUGAAAUCACUUCUUUAAUACAUCACUCUGGUAUUUACAAUAUUAAUUCCCAAAAUAUGCACUGUACUUAUAGCAAUGCAAAGUUCAAUAUUUUGUUUAAAUCAGCACUUCAGAAGAGUAGCAGAACAAAUUAUUCCUCCAUCAGCUCCAGAGCCUAACAAGCAAAUGUUACCUGAAUAUACUAAAUUGGGCCUUUGUUGAUUUAUUGAUCAAACUGAGUGCAUUCUGCUCAAAGCUUUGGCAAGAAAAGAUCUAUUCUUGACCAGCUGGUCUUCAGGUCAUUUAAGAAGGCUUGAGAAAGUCCCAUAGAGUGCACAAUAGAGUUCAGAAUUGAAACUGGAAGGAUUGAAAGAGUUCUGUUACAGGGAGAGAUUGCAGAAGCCAGGUUUUAUUUGUAGCAGAAAUGGUGAAGAUGUCAAAUAAGAAAAAGCAGCACUAUUCAAUUAUAUCUUGGCGGAUCUUGGGACACCAUUUUCCUGCAGGAUCUCUGUAUCCCUUCAUUCCCUCGAUGUUCAGGAACCUCUUGUUUUGAAGUUCUUCCUGAACAACGCCAGUCUCUGUCGUGAUUUAACUCACGGUUUGAGUCUUUGGGUCUAGGGUACCGACAUUUUCCCUUCUUCCAUCCUUUAUUCCAAGACCGUGACGCCUGGUUGGGGAAACAUCCUCCAUGUCUCCACACACUUUAGCCCUGUAUGAGUUUUGUAAACUCUCGAAUAAUGGAGAAUACAUUUAUUGUCUACUCAACCUCUCCUUCUCAGGAACCGGUUUUUACAACGGUGCUCAGAAAAACGAAGGAUGCGACCGGUGAAAGUUCAUUCCCCUAGCAACAGGGUCAGUGACUCUUGUAGCGAGAGAAGAUAAUGUGAAUGAUGACAAUUGACUCUGCCCUAACUUAUUCAGCUAAUUUACAAAAGGUACUUGGAGAGUGGAAUGAAGUGAGAGCUUGAGGGUGAAUCUCACUUGUAAAAGGACGGGCAACCACAAGUCCGGCCGAACAGUUUCAUGAUUUCAUCUGACUUCCUUCAUGAGUCAUUUAAGUCAGUUCUAAAUUAACUUGCCCCACGCUCACGGGACCGACUUCCGCUAAAUCCCUUGGAAUUAGAAAGGCUGACCGACUUGCUGAUUACCUUCAACAUCUUCCGAUUUUAUUGACUAAUGAAGGUGAAUCUGUGGAUAUGUUGAAAAAAGGAGCAACAAGAGGGUAGAUCAGGGACCUGUCCUUCUCCUGUCCAGUAUGUUAAUUGAUACUCAUGCUGAGAGAACGGCCUGAUGAAGUUUCAGACUUGGAGAUGAGUGCCUCCAAGAAUAGUGAGAAGAGUGACUGGAGUCCUAUCAGGAUUUUUGAUCUACAGUAAUGCUCAAAAACUGCAGUUCUGCAUGACAGCAUGUUCCCGUUCUUGGAACUUGCCAGUCGGCUGCAUUUCUGUAUGUCCAGUUUCAGACUGAAUACGGGCAAUUUUGGGGUCUACGUGGCCCUGUGGAUAUAAAUUCAUGCCAGUGUCAUGUACUACAGUGUAGUGGGAGCUGGAACAUCGAAGACAGCGAGAGUGGCUUUCGAAGGGCUCAGCACUCGGUGAUCGAUUUUCUGAUUCUCGAGUCAGGGAACUCGAAAUUUAAAAAAAGUAACAUUUCAACCUGAUAGUAACAUUGAAAUAGCGACUGUUGUCUCCCCGUCGCUGUGGAAGGAGCGAUAUCUGCCUCGCCCUUGUUAGCGGGAGAGACUGAGCCUCUGGGAUGUUGAAAUGCUGGUGUGUACAGCUAGUUUCUGGUGGGCCGUAGAUCAUGA